Molecule: transfer RNA, 72 nt
Filed under: Selenomonadaceae bacterium
Lineage: Bacteria; Bacillati; Bacillota; Negativicutes; Selenomonadales; Selenomonadaceae
Description: tRNA-Pro
Rfam family: tRNA
About the family: Transfer RNA (tRNA) molecules are approximately 80 nucleotides in length. Their secondary structure includes four short double-helical elements and three loops (D, anti-codon, and T loops). Further hydrogen bonds mediate the characteristic L-shaped molecular structure. tRNAs have two regions of fundamental functional importance: the anti-codon, which is responsible for specific mRNA codon recognition, and the 3' end, to which the tRNAs corresponding amino acid is attached (by aminoacyl-tRNA synthetases). tRNAs cope with the degeneracy of the genetic code in two manners: having more than one tRNA (with a specific anti-codon) for a particular amino acid; and 'wobble' base-pairing, i.e. permitting non-standard base-pairing at the 3rd anti-codon position.
Source: RNAcentral
CGGGGUUUAGCGCAGGGGUAGCGCGUCUGCCUUGGGAGCAGAAGGUCGUGAGUUCAAAUCUCACAACUCCGA